AGUGAACGCUGGCGGCGUGCCUAAUACAUGCAGGUCGAAGGUAGUGGCGCACGGGUGAGUAAUAUAUAGCUAAACCGCCCCUUGCUGGAGGACAAAAGAUAGAAAUGACUGCUAAUACUCCAUAUCGAGGGAUGAGACUAUAUCGUAUCAGCUAGUCGGUGAGGUAACGGCCUACCGAGGCUACGACGCGUAACUGGUCUGAGAGGAUGAUCAGUCACAUUGGAACUGAGACACGGGCCAAACACCUGCGGGAGGCAGCAGUAGUGAAUAUUGCGCAAUGGGGGAGACCCUGACGCAGCAACGCCGCGUAAAGGAUGACACUUUGCGGAGCGUAAACUCCUUUUGUUAGGGAAGCGGUACCUAACGAAUAAGCACCGGCUAACUCCGUGCCAGCAGCCGCGGUAAUAC
Molecule: ribosomal RNA, 408 nt
Filed under: uncultured bacterium
Lineage: Bacteria
Description: partial 16S ribosomal RNA
Rfam family: Bacterial small subunit ribosomal RNA
Source: RNAcentral